RNAcentral lists this ribosomal RNA (440 nucleotides) under uncultured bacterium. RNAcentral's name for it is "partial 16S ribosomal RNA". It matches the Rfam family "Bacterial small subunit ribosomal RNA", at positions 338 to 795 of the family's 1533-position model. The record is from RNAcentral.
CCUACGGGAGGCAGCAGUGAGGUAUAUUGGUCAAUGGGGGAAACCCUGAACCAGCAAAGCCGCGUGAGGGAAGACGGUUUUCGGAUUGUACACCUCUUUCCUCUGUGGAGAUAAUGACGUUACCAGAGGAGGAAUCUCGGGCUACCUACGUUCCAGCAUCCGCGGUAAUACUUAGGGAGCAAGCGUUGUCAGGCUUGACUGGGUGUAAAGGGUGCGUAGGCGGCCCUGCAAGUCAGCAGGUAAAUCCAUGGGCUUAACCCGUGAACCGCUUUUGAAACUGUAGGGCUUGAGUGAAGUAGAGGCAGGCGGAAUGCCCGGUGUAGCGGUGAAAUGCGUAGAGAUCGGGCGGAACACCAGUGGCGAAGGCAGCAUGCUGGGCUUAAACUGACGCUGAAGCACGAAAGCGUGGGUAGCAAACAGGAUUAGAUACCCGAGUAGUC